GAUGAAGAACGUAGCGAAAUGCGAUAAGUAAUGUGAAUUGCAGAAUUCAGUGAAUCAUCGAAUCUUUGAACGCACAUUGCGCCCGCCAGUAUUCUGGCGGGCAUGCCUGUUCGAGCGUCAUUACAACCCUCAGGCCCCCGGGCCUGGCGUUGGGGAUCGGCGGAGCCCCCCGUGGGCACACGCCGUCCCCCAAAUGCAGUGGCGGUCCCGCCGCAGCUUCCAUCGCGUAGUAGCUAACACCUCGCGACUGGAGAGCGGCGCGGCCACGCCGUAAAACACCCAACUCUUCUGAAGUUGACCUCGAAUCAGGUAGGAAUACACGCUGAACUUAAGCAUAUCAAUAAGCGGAGGA
This 352-nucleotide unclassified non-coding RNA is filed under the name soil metagenome. Its description in RNAcentral is "partial contains 5.8S ribosomal RNA, internal transcribed spacer 2, and large subunit ribosomal RNA". The stretch from base 1 to 120 matches the Rfam family "5.8S ribosomal RNA", at positions 35 to 154 of the family's 154-position model. The record is from RNAcentral.